UUUUUUAAUAAAUUUUUGCUCCACGCGAGAAAGAUGCUUUCGACAUCGUAUGCAAAAGUUAUAGCCGUUUUACUUUUUCAUAAGACUUUUUUGCAAAACAUGUCAAAAUUUAUGUUUUUGAAUUUUCCUAACUAAUAGAUGUAGUAACAUAAAUACAUCUCGAAGGAUUUUAAUUUUUGAAGUUUUUAUCAUUUUCUUUUCUUUUUUUCAAAACUAAAAUGGCGAUAGGGAGGGGCAGAAUAAUGGACGAAGGCGGGGGUAACAUGUCGGAUGCCGAUCAUACCAGCACUAAAGCACCGGAUCAUGCCGAUCAUACCAGCACUAAAGCACCGGAUCCCAUCAGAACUCCGAAGUUAAGCGUGCUUGGGCGAGAGUAGUACUAGGAUGGGUGACCUCCUGGGAAGUCCUCGUGUUGCAUUCC
RNAcentral lists this ribosomal RNA (421 nucleotides) under Hordeum capense. Lineage: Eukaryota; Viridiplantae; Streptophyta; Magnoliopsida; Poales; Poaceae. The record is from RNAcentral.